GGGAGGCGACGCCCGCCCGCCCGCAGCCUCCCCUUGCCUUCCCCGGGGCCAAGGCAGCCCGCAUCGCCGCCAAAACAUAACUCUCGCAACACAGCCGUCUCGGAUGCUUUCAUUUCGACCGUUAAAGUCUAUACCCCACCGCAUAUAUCUCGCCAGCAACAUCCCAAAUACUUAGAGGGAGAAUUAUCUUAUAAGCAGCUUGGCACCAUAUAGAAUAAAAAAUCUGGAAUAUAUGAAAAGAAAAUGUACAUGACUUGAAUUGAGAAUGCUUUGUGAAGGUGACAUCAAGACUCCAAUAAAUGGUAAACCUCAACACCUUUGAGUGAGUGAAGUGUAAAUAGUUCUUUGUUCACGCAUCUGAUUGUUUUGUAGCUUCUGUAGAAAAUGCAUAUGUAGACAUUCAGGCUCCAAAAAUCUCAAGUCUACCAGCAUCAGUGUCAUUUUGUUUAUUGUUUGCGGCCCAAUAAUUGAUGCAUCUCUGGCAUUUGUCUGGCUCAUGGGGACAAAAAAUAAAAUGCUCACCAAGACCAAGAUAUCCAUGACUCUUGAGAUUAUUACAC
Molecule: long non-coding RNA, 560 nt
Organism: Leucoraja erinaceus (little skate)
Lineage: Eukaryota; Metazoa; Chordata; Chondrichthyes; Rajiformes; Rajidae
Exons: 3
Source: RefSeq, a predicted model, not a curated record